AAAUUGCGGGGCUCAACCUCGUCGAGCCGUUGAAACUGGGUGCCUUGAGUGGGCGAGAAGUACGCGGAAUGCGUGGUGUAGCGGUGAAAUGCAUAGAUAUCACGCAGAACUCCGAUUGCGAAGGCAGCGUACCGGCGCCCAACUGACGCUGAAGCACGAAGGCGUGGGUAUCGAACAGGAUUAGAUACCCUGGUAGUCCACGCAGUAAACGAUGAAUGCUAGUUGUCCGGGGCGAUUGAGUUCUGGGUGACACAGCGAAAGCGUUAAGCAUUCCACCUGGGGAGUACGCCGGCAACGGUGAAACUCAAAGGAAUUGACGGGGGCCCGCACAAGCGGAGGAACAUGUGGUUUAAUUCGAUGAUACGCGAGGAACCUUACCCGGGCUCAAACGCAGGAGGGAUGUUUUUGAAAGGAGGCAGCCAGCAAUGGUCUCCUGCGAGGUGCUGCAUGGUUGUCGUCAGCUCGUGCCGUGAGGUGUCGGCUUAAGUGCCAUAACGAGCGCAACCCCUACCUACAGUUGCCAUCGCGUGAUGGCGGGCACUCUGUGGGGACUGCCUGCGCAAGCAGUGAGGAAGGCGGGGAUGACGUCAAAUCAGCACGGCCCUUACGUCCGGGGCGACACACGUGUUACAAUGGCAGGUACAGCGGGAAGCCACCCGGCGACGGGGCGCGGAACCCGAAAACCUGUCUCAGUUCGGAUUGGAGUCUGCAACCCGACUCCAUGAAGCUGGAUUCGCUAGUAAUCGCGCAUCAGCCACGGCGCGGUGAAUACGUUCCCGGGCCUUGUACACACCGCCCGUCAAGCCAUGGAAGCCGGGGGUGCCUGAAGUGCGUGACCGCAAGGAGCGCCCUAGGGUAAAACCGGUGACUGGGGCUAAGUCGUAACAAGGUAACCGUAA
This 899-nucleotide ribosomal RNA is filed under the name uncultured bacterium. RNAcentral describes it as "bacterial SSU rRNA". It matches the Rfam family "Bacterial small subunit ribosomal RNA", at positions 597 to 1505 of the family's 1533-position model. The record is from RNAcentral.